CUUGACUUGAGGUCGAAGGGGAAACACCCUCCACCCGGCCGAGGGACUGGACACACAACCCAAAUCCCCCUUUCAAAUGACCUUCCAGAUGGGUGGCACUCCAACGGUCCUGGAAGUUCCUGCCCUCAUCUUCCAACCAUGAUGAUUGCUGCUUGGUGGUGUUUGCUGGCAAGAGCAGGUCCUUCCAAGUCACAGGCUACCCAUGGGCCUCUGCCGGAUGCUCACACAUGCCUUCAAACGCGCUCACAUGCACUCAAGGAGGGAGAGCCAGGACGAUCGGUAGCAAAUUUGAGAAAGAAUUGGAGGAAAAUUGAGAAAUGAGAAGCAUUCGGAUGCCAGAAGAGCAAAAUGAAGGAAUGAUGUAUUGAGA
Molecule: long non-coding RNA, 370 nt
Filed under: Urocitellus parryii (Arctic ground squirrel)
Lineage: Eukaryota; Metazoa; Chordata; Mammalia; Rodentia; Sciuridae
Description: lncRNA (ENSUPAG00010000141.1)
Source: RNAcentral